Molecule: transfer RNA, 87 nt
Filed under: Elusimicrobiota bacterium
Lineage: Bacteria; Pseudomonadati; Elusimicrobiota
Description: Elusimicrobia bacterium (groundwater metagenome) tRNA-Ser
Rfam family: tRNA
About the family: Transfer RNA (tRNA) molecules are approximately 80 nucleotides in length.
Source: RNAcentral
GGAAGGGUGGCCGAGCGGUUGAUGGCGCCGGUCUUGAAAACCGGUAGGGUGUAACAGCCCUCGUGGGUUCGAAUCCCACCCCUUCCG